GAAUGUGAGGGUGAUCUGUCACCCCACUGAUCGCCAGGGUUGAUUUGGCUGAUUUGGGUGGCUAGCACUUCCUCCCUCACCACUCCAUGUGCGUCCCUCCCAAGGCUAUGCACUUGUUGGGAGAGGGUGGCCUUCCCUGAAUAGAGACAAACCAGUCUUCAGUCAAGGGUAUACAAGUAGCUGCGCUCCCCUGCUAGAACCUCCAAACAAGUUUUCAAGAAGUGACAGUUCCUAAAACAUAUUUAAGAGAAAGAAUAGAGGGCUGAGGAGAUAGCAUACUGGUUCU
RNAcentral lists this small nuclear RNA (286 nucleotides) under Erinaceus europaeus (western European hedgehog). RNAcentral's name for it is "7SK RNA". It matches the Rfam family "7SK RNA". Rfam says of the family: 7SK was discovered as an abundant small nuclear RNA in the mid-70s but a possible function has only recently been suggested. Two independent studies have found that 7SK RNA binds the CDK9/cyclin T complex (known as elongation factor P-TEFb). P-TEFb activates transcription by phosphorylating the C-terminal domain of RNA polymerase II. Lineage: Eukaryota; Metazoa; Chordata; Mammalia; Eulipotyphla; Erinaceidae. The record is from Rfam by way of RNAcentral.